RNAcentral lists this ribosomal RNA (859 nucleotides) under Bifidobacterium adolescentis. Its description in RNAcentral is "bacterial SSU rRNA". It matches the Rfam family "Bacterial small subunit ribosomal RNA", at positions 69 to 936 of the family's 1533-position model. The record is from RNAcentral. Lineage: Bacteria; Bacillati; Actinomycetota; Actinomycetes; Bifidobacteriales; Bifidobacteriaceae.
AUCCCAGGAGCUUGCUCCUGGGUGAGAGUGGCGAACGGGUGAGUAAUGCGUGACCGACCUGCCCCAUACACCGGAAUAGCUCCUGGAAACGGGUGGUAAUGCCGGAUGCUCCAGUUGGAUGCAUGUCCUUCUGGGAAAGAUUCAUCGGUAUGGGAUGGGGUCGCGUCCUAUCAGCUUGAUGGCGGGGUAACGGCCCACCAUGGCUUCGACGGGUAGCCGGCCUGAGAGGGCGACCGGCCACAUUGGGACUGAGAUACGGCCCAGACUCCUACGGGAGGCAGCAGUGGGGAAUAUUGCACAAUGGGCGCAAGCCUGAUGCAGCGACGCCGCGUGCGGGAUGACGGCCUUCGGGUUGUAAACCGCUUUUGACUGGGAGCAAGCCCUUCGGGGUGAGUGUACCUUUCGAAUAAGCACCGGCUAACUACGUGCCAGCAGCCGCGGUAAUACGUAGGGUGCAAGCGUUAUCCGGAAUUAUUGGGCGUAAAGGGCUCGUAGGCGGUUCGUCGCGUCCGGUGUGAAAGUCCAUCGCUUAACGGUGGAUCCGCGCCGGGUACGGGCGGGCUUGAGUGCGGUAGGGGAGACUGGAAUUCCCGGUGUAACGGUGGAAUGUGUAGAUAUCGGGAAGAACACCAAUGGCGAAGGCAGGUCUCUGGGCCGUCACUGACGCUGAGGAGCGAAAGCGUGGGGAGCGAACAGGAUUAGAUACCCUGGUAGUCCACGCCGUAAACGGUGGAUGCUGGAUGUGGGGACCAUUCCACGGUCUCCGUGUCGGAGCCAACGCGUUAAGCAUCCCGCCUGGGGAGUACGGCCGCAAGGCUAAAACUCAAAGAAAUUGACGGGGGCCCGCACAAGCGGCGGA